AACGCCUACUGUGUGCCGGUCG
RNAcentral lists this microRNA (22 nucleotides) under Sarcophilus harrisii (Tasmanian devil). Its description in RNAcentral is "Sha-Novel-19_3p (mature (guide))". The record is from RNAcentral. Lineage: Eukaryota; Metazoa; Chordata; Mammalia; Dasyuromorphia; Dasyuridae.